RNAcentral lists this ribosomal RNA (235 nucleotides) under uncultured bacterium. RNAcentral's name for it is "partial 16S ribosomal RNA". It matches the Rfam family "Bacterial small subunit ribosomal RNA", at positions 118 to 350 of the family's 1533-position model. The record is from RNAcentral.
UGGGCAACCUGCCCCUCUCUCUGGGAUAACCCCCGGGGGAACCGGAGCUAAUACCGGAUACUCCGGCUGGAUCGCAUGGUCCGGCCGGGAAAGGUCCGCCGGAGAGGGAUGGGCCCGCGGCCUAUCAGCUUGUUGGUGGGGUCAUGGCUCACCAAGGCGACGACGGGUAGCUGGUCUGAGAGGGUGACCGGCCACACUGGGACUGAGACACGGCCCAGACUCCGUACGGGAGGCA